CUGAACCAGCCAAGUAGCGUGAAGGAUGAAGGCUCUAUGGGUCGUAAACUUCUUUUAUAUAAGAAUAAAGUGCAGUAUGUAUACUGUUUUGUAUGUAUUAUAUGAAUAAGGAUCGACUAACUCCGUGCCAGCAGCCGCGGUAAUACGGAGGAUCCGAGCGUUAUCCGGAUUUAUUGGGUUUAAAGGGAGCGUAGGUGGACUGGUAAGUCAGUUGUGAAAGUUUGCGG
This 227-nucleotide ribosomal RNA is filed under the name uncultured bacterium. RNAcentral's name for it is "partial 16S ribosomal RNA". It matches the Rfam family "Bacterial small subunit ribosomal RNA", at positions 383 to 607 of the family's 1533-position model. The record is from RNAcentral.